GGAAUUUUGCGCAAUGGGCGAAAGCCUGACGCAGCAACGCCGCGUGAUCGCAGACGGCCUUCGGGUUGUAAAGAUCUGUCAGCAGGGACGAACAAUGACUGUACCUGCAGAGGAAGCACCGGCUAACUCCGUGCCAGCAGCCGCGGUAAUACGGGGGGUGCGAGCGUUGUCCGGAAUCAUUGGGCGUAAAGAGUUCGUAGGUGGUUUGUUAAGUUUGGUGUUAAAGGCGCAGGCUUAACCUGUGUAUGGCAUCGGAUACUGGCAGACUGGAAUGCGGUAGAGGUAAAGGGAAUUUCUGGUGUAGCGGUGAAAUGCUUAGAUAUCAGGAAGAACAUCGGUGGCGUAAGCGCUUUACUGGGCCGUAAUUGACACUGAGGAACGAAAGCCGGGGUAGCAAAUG
Molecule: ribosomal RNA, 400 nt
Filed under: uncultured bacterium
Lineage: Bacteria
Description: bacterial SSU rRNA
Rfam family: Bacterial small subunit ribosomal RNA
Source: RNAcentral